UUGCCCUUUACGGCUCAGUAACACGUAGUCAACAUGCCCAGGGGACGUGGAUAACCUCGGGAAACUGAGGAUAAACCGCGAUAGGCCAAAGUUUCUGGAAUGGACCUUGGCUGAAACCUAUAUGGCCCCUGGAUUGGACUGCGGCCGAUCAGGCUGUUGGUGAGGUAAUGGCCCACCAAACCUGUAACCGGUACGGGCUCUGAGAGGAGGAGCCCGGAGAUGGGCACUGAGACAAGGGCCCAGGCCCUAUGGGGCGCAGCAGGCGCGAAACCUCUGCAAUAGGCGAAAGCUUGACAGGGUUACUCUGAGUGAUGCCCGUUAAGGGUAUCUUUUGGCACCUCUAAAAAUGGUGCAGAAUAAGGGGUGGGCAAGUCUGGUGUCAGCCGCCGCGGUAAUACCAGCACCCCGAGUGGUCGGGACGAUUAUUGGGCCUAAAGCAUCCGUAGCCGGUUCUGCAAGUCUUCCGUUAAAUCCACCUGCUCAACAGAUGGGCUGCGGAGGAUACUACAGGGCUAGGAGGCGGGAGAGGCAAGCGGUACUCAGUGGGUAGGGGUAAAAUCCUCUGAUCCACUGAAGACCACCAGUGGCGAAGGCGGCUUGCCAGAACGCGCUCGACGGUGAGGGAUGAAAGCUGGGGGAGCAAACCGGAUUAGACACCCGGGUAGUCCCAGCUGUAAACGAUGCAGACUCGGUGAUGGGUUGGCUUUGUGCCAACCCAGUGCCGCAGGGAAGCCGUUAAGUCUGCCGCCUGGGGAGUACGGUCGCAAGACUGAAACUUAAAGGAAUUGGCGGGGGAGCAC
Molecule: ribosomal RNA, 800 nt
Filed under: uncultured bacterium
Lineage: Bacteria
Description: bacterial SSU rRNA
Rfam family: Archaeal small subunit ribosomal RNA
Source: RNAcentral